Molecule: ribosomal RNA, 414 nt
Filed under: Triticum aestivum (bread wheat)
Lineage: Eukaryota; Viridiplantae; Streptophyta; Magnoliopsida; Poales; Poaceae
Description: partial small subunit ribosomal RNA
Source: RNAcentral
AUGGUGAUGGCGCACAUGUCGUCUCCAGUUGUGAGGCGUGAUGCGACAAGUUUGCUGGAUAAGAUGGUGGUAUCCGGUCAGCACAAGCUAGGCAGCAGCCUCUGGUGUUUUGAUUGGUGGUAUCCGAUCAUCUUUUUCGCGGACAGAGGGGCUGGCGUUAUGGCGGCUGUGUACAGCGAUGACCACAAGUUCUCCCGUGAUUUGCCUCCAUCUCCUACUCCUAGCUCCCUCUUUUUUGCUCCUAUAGCAGUAGAAGGCUUUAAAUGUGGUGCAUGCGUGAGGAUCAAUCAUGUUGACUGCGUGACAAUCAUGUUUCUCAUCAUUGUAAUUUUUGGUAGUAACUCUGAUAGGCCACUACACUUUCCAAAUUCCAAUGCUUGCCUGUUGGUCGUCCCCAAGUUUUCACUACCCUGA